AAACCCAGCUGAGCCAGCCUCCACUGUUAUUGUGAACAGCAGGGGUCUCGGGCUCAGCCACCGGCCGGCUGCCAGUCUGGCACUGAGAAGUGGCCUCGGAGUGUUCCGGCUUGGUGAUGGACAUCAUAGCAGGAUGCUCAACAUAUCUAAGUCGGACAUCUGUAAUAAGUGGGAGAAGUCAGGCCACUCUGCUCAUGUCACCAUACAGAACAAUUACUGGCUGACAGGAUCACGUUGUUGUUGUCAGCGUAGAAGAGUACAGAGAUGGGACUGAGCUUGGUGGUUGUGCAGCACGCUUUGGGAACCUCAUCCGGCUUCAGAAGGUGAACCUGCCAUUGAAAACGGGUUGGGAGGAGGACAUGCUGCCUGAGGAGAGGGAGGUUCCUCUGGUAAACCUCUACCUUACCACCAAGAGAGUGGAGGACAUCGCCCUGAGGCUCGUCUCCCUGCGCCAGGCCUUCACUACCCUGCUUGGUUCCACCCUGAGCAGGAACCAUCUGUUUGUGG
Long non-coding RNA from Salvelinus namaycush (lake trout), 507 nucleotides. RefSeq lists it as uncharacterized. The record is from RefSeq and is a predicted model, not a curated record. The transcript has 5 exons. NCBI's taxonomy places the organism in Eukaryota, Metazoa, Chordata, Actinopteri, Salmoniformes, Salmonidae.